CCCACGCCGCCACCGCCGCCCCGGAGCGGCCCUGACCCCUGACUCCCGCAUUCCUCCGUCUGUGCCCCCCCUCCAACGCACACCCCUUUCUCGUCUUUUUAUUUUUCAUCCUGAUGUUUUUUAAGUAUGCUCUCUAUGAAUAGAGAGAGUGCCUAUUUACUCUGAAAUAUUUGGCACAGCGGAUGGAGUCUGAAGCAUGGAAGAAGUGGCUAUUAUUUUCCCACUGCCUGUGUGCAGCUGUCAUUUCUGAGCAACACGCUCCUCGCACAUCCCUGCUUCCCAACCUCGCUGAUGGUGCUACCCAGGAUUACAAGAAGAGGGGACUGGCAUGUUACUGCACUCAGCCAAAACCUUAACGUUAUAGGUUGUAUUUGAACACAGGACCUAAGCAUUAUGUCUUGUAUUAAAUCACAGCAGAGAACUG
Long non-coding RNA from Neopsephotus bourkii (Bourke's parrot), 424 nucleotides. RefSeq lists it as uncharacterized. NCBI's taxonomy places the organism in Eukaryota, Metazoa, Chordata, Aves, Psittaciformes, Psittacidae. The transcript has 2 exons. The record is from RefSeq and is a predicted model, not a curated record.